This 448-nucleotide ribosomal RNA is filed under the name uncultured bacterium. RNAcentral describes it as "partial 16S ribosomal RNA". It matches the Rfam family "Bacterial small subunit ribosomal RNA", at positions 29 to 523 of the family's 1533-position model. The record is from RNAcentral.
AACGAACGCUGGCGGCAGGCUUAACACAUGCAAGUCGAACGCAUCCUUCGGGGUGAGUGGCAGACGGGUGAGUAACGCGUGGGAAUCUACCCAUCUCUGCGGAAUAGCUCCGGGAAACUGGAAUUAAUACCGCAUACGCCCUACGGGGGAAAGAUUUAUCGGGAUGGAUGAGCCCGCGUUGGAUUAGCGGGUUGGUGGGGUAAAGGCCUACCAAGGCGACGAUCCAUAGCUGGUCUGAGAGGUUGAUCAGCCACAUUGGGACUGAGACACGGCCCAAACUCCUACGGGAGGCAGCAGUGGGGAAUAUUGGACAAUGGGCGCAAGCCUGAUCCAGCCAUGCCGCGUGAGUGAUGAAGGCCUUAGGGUUGUAAAGCUCUUUCACCGAUGAAGAUAAUGACGGUAGUCGGAGAAGAAGCCCCGGCUAACUUCGUGCCAGCCGCCGCCGUAA